This 2524-nucleotide long non-coding RNA is filed under the name Homo sapiens (human). RNAcentral describes it as "HSALNT0026642". The record is from RNAcentral. Lineage: Eukaryota; Metazoa; Chordata; Mammalia; Primates; Hominidae.
UUGAGGAGGGAGGAGGGGAGAAGAAAACUCCAAACAGCAGAAAACAUUCCUGAGUUCUGUGCGCAGUGCCUUUGAUGGGUGUGCUCAGAUUUUUUUCAUCGAGGUGGUUUUGAAUCAGUUGCAGGCCUUCUUUCAUGUGGGUAACUAUUUAAAGAUGUGAUAUUCGGGGCAAGCGUUUGUACCAACUCAUUUUCUCUGUCUUCUCCCAGGCCGCUGAGGACCGCACAGGGGAGCGGGCGGCGGCAUCGCGAGGACUGACCACUGGGUGGCACUGUUGCUCCAUGGAGAGCUGCCAACGGCGUCCCCGGGGACCCGGCCACGUUGAGCACAAAAGGCAGAGGAGCCUGGCAACCAUGUCCCAAGUUGGAAGGAAGCUCUGAGAACCCUGCUCCCCAGAAAUCCUGAGCAAAGGCUGGCUGGCCUACAGGAGCAGUCUAGAGUAAGAGCUGUUUCCUGGCAGAGGAUCAAGUAUCCAGGUCACAUUGAAGAGACAUGUGAGGACUCCAAUGGAGAACAAUUUGAGAGUGAGAAACCAGUUCUGGAGGCCAGGAAGUUCAAGAUCAAGGUGUUGGCAAGUUCAGUGUCUGCUGAGGACCUGAUCUCUCUUCUUUCAAGAUGGCAUCUUGUUGCUCUUCCCUCCAGAGAGUAGAAAUGCUGGAACCUCACAUGGAGGAAAAAAUGAAAAGGACCAAUGCUAGUUCCCUUCAGCCUUUUUAUGAACUCACUAAUUCCCAUUGAGGGCUCCACAUACAUGACUUAAUCACCUCCUAAAUGCCUGACUUCCUAAUACUCUCAUUUUGAAGAUUAAGUUUCAACAUAUGAAUUUGGGGGUCAUAUUCAGAACAUAGCACUUAUGAUACUAUCUCAAAUCAUAGACUGCUUUCUCGGUGGGCAUCUAUCUCAGUUUCUUUUCUGUUGUUAUUACAGAGUACCUGAGCCUGAGUAAUUUAUAAAGAAAAUACAUUUAUUUUGGCUCAUGGCUCUAUAGGCUGGGAAGUCCAAGAUUGGGCGGUUACAUCUGGUUGGCUCCUGGUGCGGGCCUCCUGCCGCAUCAUAACAAGGUAGAGAAGUGAAAGGGAAGGUGGGCUUGUAGGAAGGGGGCAAAGCAUGAAGGGCAGGCUUGCUUUAUAGAAACUGGGACACAGCACCCCACAGGAUGAGUGUAUAAAGGCUAGACAGACAAGGGGAUUGUUGUGUUGAACCUGAAAAGUCCCCUCACCUGGCAAUGCUCUCUGUUCCCUGUGAGAAGAAGGGGUUUCUUUUCUUCUGGGAUGAUUCAUCCCUUCACCUGUGGCCUUCCCUAGAGCCCAUCCUUGUGCCAUUCUGCUCUCCAGGCACAUCUCUCUCAGAUGAAUUCCCUCUUCCCUCUUCCUCUGGCCCCUCCUGUUUAUUUAUCUGUUUCCUCACCACUGUGUAAUCAGGUAGGCCCCACUGCUGUGACCUCUGGAAUAAUGAUUGAAUCUGCCCUAUCCUCUCCACAGUGAUGCCUGGGACCCAGCUGAGAUCUCCAUCAUCUCUCAAAACAACUGUGCACUGACCUCCUGACCUAAGCCCAGCCUCUGCCCACUCAGACUGACCUUCACGCAGCUGCACAAUGCUGCAUUUGGAAGCCGGACCUGACCACAUUCGUUUCCCUCUGUUGAGAUUCAUGUUCUGGAGAAAUGAAAAUGCUGUCUCAGUGGAAUGUUGAUUAGCUGGAGUGGAGACCCAAGAUCUCUGUCCAGGCAGGGCCAUCAACUAGAGGUGGCCCUGUGAUUGAUGAGUGACCAGCCAUGUGUGGAGAAAAGCAAUGUGAACAACUUCUGACUUCGCUGUUAAAGAAAAUUGGUCUGUCCCCCAUUUCCUUGCAUUCCCAUUCUUACUGGCUGAAAUUCAAAGCUGAUAAAUGGAGCUAGAGCAGAUAGCUGGGAAAAUGAGUUGAGGGUCUUACAUUAAGACUUGCCAGCAAGAAGAAGAAUUUUUCCAGGGUUCCUGACACCGCCAAAUUGUUCGAUCAGCUCUGAACUCUAUACUGAGAUUCUUUAAGUAUGAGAGACAUGAACUUUGACUGGCUUAAGUGAGCUAUUGAGGUCUCUUUGCUAUUGUGACCUAACUCAGGGGUCAGCAAAUAACACUCUGUGCGCAAAAUCUGACUACGAUCUGUUUUUGUAACUAAAUAAAAUUUCACUGAAACACACCCAUGCUCAUUUAUUUAGGUAUGGCUGCUUUCAUGAUACCAUGGCACAUUUGACUACCUAUAGACAGUGAUAUGAUGUGGAUCUGUGUCCCCACCCAAAUCUCAUGUUGAAAUGUAAUCCCCCUGUGCUGGAGGUGGGAUCUGGUGGGAGGUGAAAUGGGGGCGGUUUCUCAAGAAUGGUUUAGCUCCAUUUCUCUGCUGCUGUAUUCAUGAUAGUAAGUGAGUGAGUUGUCACAAGAUCUGAUUGUGUAAAAGUGUGUGGCACCUCCCCCUUCUCUCUUGCUCCUUCUCGGCCAUGUAAGACCUGCCUGCUUCCCCUUCACCUUCCACCAUGAUUGUAAAUUUCAU